RNAcentral lists this ribosomal RNA (498 nucleotides) under uncultured bacterium. RNAcentral's name for it is "bacterial SSU rRNA". It matches the Rfam family "Bacterial small subunit ribosomal RNA", at positions 28 to 514 of the family's 1533-position model. The record is from RNAcentral.
GAUGAACGCUAGCGGCAGGCUUAACACAUGCAAGUCGAGGGGCAGCAUGAUGAAACUUUCGGGUUUCAUUGAUGGCGACCGGCGCAAGGGUGCGUAACGCGUGAGCAACUUGCCCUUAUCAGGGGAAUAACCGGUGGAAACGCCGACUAAUACCCCAUAGUAUCACUUGAAGGCAUCUUUUAGUGAUUAAAGAAUUUCGGAUAAGGAUAGGCUCGCGUGACAUUAGCUAGAUGGCGGGGUAACGGCCCACCAUGGCGACGAUGUCUAGGGGUUCUGAGAGGAAGGUCCCCCACACUGGAACUGAGACACGGUCCAGACUCCUACGGGAGGCAGCAGUGAGGAAUAUUGGUCAAUGGCCGAGAGGCUGAACCAGCCAUGCCGCGUGCAGGAAGACGGCUCUAUGAGUUGUAAACUGCUUUUGUACAAGGGUAAACCUCGGUACGAGUACCGAGCUGAAAGUACUGUACGAAUAAGGAUCGGCUAACUCCGUGCCAGCAG